RNAcentral lists this ribosomal RNA (254 nucleotides) under uncultured bacterium. Its description in RNAcentral is "partial 16S ribosomal RNA". It matches the Rfam family "Bacterial small subunit ribosomal RNA", at positions 524 to 776 of the family's 1533-position model. The record is from RNAcentral. RNAcentral also lists the same sequence under 1 other name.
GACGUAGGGUGCAAGCGUUGUCCGGAUUUACUGGGCGUAAAGGGCGCGUAGGCGGUCUGUUAAGUGUGAAGUGAAAUCUCCAUCGCUCAACGAGGAAAUUGCUUCGCAUACUGGCAGACUGGAGGGAUGCAGAGGUGAAUAGAAUUCCUGGUGUACCGGUGACAUGGAUUGAUAUCAGGAGGAAUACCCAAGGCGAAGGCAGUUCACUGGGCAUCAUCUGACGCUGAGGCGCGAAAGCGUGGGGAGCAAACAGG